This 253-nucleotide ribosomal RNA is filed under the name uncultured bacterium. RNAcentral's name for it is "partial 16S ribosomal RNA". It matches the Rfam family "Bacterial small subunit ribosomal RNA", at positions 524 to 776 of the family's 1533-position model. The record is from RNAcentral.
UACGGGGGGGGCAAGCGUUGUUCGGAAUUACUGGGCGUAAAGGGCUCGUAGGCGGCCAACUAAGUCGGACGUGAAAUCCCCAGGCUCAACCUGGGAACUGCGUCCGAUACUGGAUGGCUUGAAUCCGGGAGAGGGAUGCAGAAUUCCAGGUGUAGCGGUGAAAUGCGCAGAUAUCGGGAGGAACACCGGUGGCGAAGGCGGUUCUCUGGGCCUUACCUGACGCUGAGGAGCGAAGGCGUGGGGAGCGAACAGG